Molecule: ribosomal RNA, 252 nt
Filed under: uncultured bacterium
Lineage: Bacteria
Description: partial 16S ribosomal RNA
Rfam family: Bacterial small subunit ribosomal RNA
Source: RNAcentral
UACGGAGGGUGCAAGCGUUAUCCGGAUUUAUUGGGCGUAAAGCGCGCGUAGGCGGCUUGUUAAGCAAGAUCUUAAACCUGGGGGCUCAACCUUCAGUUGGAUUUUGAACUGGCAGGCUCGAGUUUGGUAGAGGAAAGUGGAAUUCCCAGUGUAGCGGUGAAAUGCGCAGAUAUUGGGAAGAACACCGAUGGCGAAGGCAGCUUUCUGGGCCAUAACUGACGCUGAGGUGCGAAAGCUAGGGGAGCAAACAGG